UACGUAGGGCGCAAGCGUUGUCCGGAAUUAUUGGGCGUAAAGAGCUCGUAGGCGGUUUGUCGCGUCUGUCGUGAAAGCUUGGGGCUUAACCCCAAGUCUGCGGUGGAUACGGGCAGACUAGAGGCAGGUAGGGGAGAACGGAAUUCCCGGUGUAGCGGUGAAAUGCGCAGAUAUCGGGAGGAACACCGGUGGCGAAGGCGGGUCUCUGGGCCGAUACUGACGCUGAGGAGCGAAAGCCAGGGUAGCAAACGGG
RNAcentral lists this ribosomal RNA (253 nucleotides) under uncultured bacterium. Its description in RNAcentral is "partial 16S ribosomal RNA". It matches the Rfam family "Bacterial small subunit ribosomal RNA", at positions 524 to 776 of the family's 1533-position model. The record is from RNAcentral.